CACCUGAGUCAGACAUCGUAGAAGGACCAUUUUUGCAUCAAAUUGGAUUUCACUUAAUUAUUUAGGAUUUUUGGAACACAAGCAGAGCGUUACUCAAAUCAAAUUGAAUGAAUCAAAAGUAAUAAAUACUA
Molecule: long non-coding RNA, 131 nt
Organism: Dalotia coriaria
Lineage: Eukaryota; Metazoa; Arthropoda; Insecta; Coleoptera; Staphylinidae
Exons: 2
Source: RefSeq, a predicted model, not a curated record